Molecule: unclassified non-coding RNA, 342 nt
Filed under: fungal sp.
Lineage: Eukaryota; Fungi
Description: partial internal transcribed spacer region
Rfam family: Eukaryotic small subunit ribosomal RNA (bases 1-46)
Source: RNAcentral
AAGUCGUAACAAGGUAUCUGUAGGUGAACCUGCAGAUGGAUCAUUUCGAUGAAAACCUUUUUUCCCCCCCUGAGGUGUGGCUCGCACCUGUCUAACUAAACUUGAGCUACCCUAUUAACACGGUUGCAUCGGUUGGGCCUGUCAAGCAGCAGCGCGGCGUUUCGGAGGAAAUAUUUAUUUUUCUGGGAUGCAGUUUGCUCGACGGUCUCGACACUUUUAACCAAAAACACUUUUGAUGAUCUAGGAUUUGAAUGAAGUUCAUUUUUACGAUGGAACCGACUGGUAAUGCGGUCGACUAAAUCCUAAAAAAACAACUUUUGGCAACGGAUCUCUUGGUUCUCC